This 2961-nucleotide long non-coding RNA is filed under the name Homo sapiens (human). Its description in RNAcentral is "HSALNT0008291". Lineage: Eukaryota; Metazoa; Chordata; Mammalia; Primates; Hominidae. The record is from RNAcentral.
ACCGUGCCCAGCCCAGAUAUUUUUGAUCCAUGGCUGGUUGAAUCUUCAGAUGGGAGGACCAACUGUAUGUAUAUAUAGUAUAAGUAUUUGCUUGUGUUUCUGAAAGGAGACAGUAGAGUUCAGUACAGAGCUGGAAACUAGCGCCCCAUGGUUCCUGUGAAAUGUCUGUGUACAGGAACAUACAGAAUCAGAUGAUCGCUUCUGUGUUUGCUAUGAUAAGGGUUACACAGAGGCCAUCAGGUAGGAGACGACACAGAGAGCACAGGUUGGAGCACAGGUGGGUCGCUAGGCAUAUCCAGGGUCCUGGGCUGAUACAGUAUCUAAAACAGAAAACAUCCAGUGCUUACGGGGUACUGGCUCUUUCCUCAGACUCCACAUUUGAGAUGCAGAGGAACUAAAACUCCAUCUUUGUGUAUGUAGCAAGUUUUCCCCUUUCAGCUUUGAAAAUGAAAGUUUGUUUUAGGUCAGGUUCAGCCUGGGGAAAUGAGAAAAUCACCCACUGGGAUGAGCCCUUCCCCCUUCAACACUGUAAAUAGCUUUUUCCACUUGGCGCGGUCUCCUCGCCACGGUAAUAAGGAGCUCUUGCUGGCUGCUCCGACCCGUGCGACAGCCAGGCCUUCAGGAGGUCUGGUGUCCCUGCACUUUGUGGUCUCUGAGCAGUCCAGCUCUGCCUGCCAUCAGUUUGGGCACUUGACAUUUCAGGAAAUCCUGAGCCCAGAUUGCAGGCCCUCUUUUUCCGUGAUGAUACCCACUACAUUGAAAUGAUGGAUCUGUGAUAGCAACAGGAGCGAUGAUAUACAUCUUUGUAUAUCCCUGCCCUCCCCAGACCCCAAGUCCUAUAUAAAAACUUCACUUCCUGGGCUUCCUUUACCCCACCCCAAUAUUUGCCAUGUUUUCUUGUGUUUCAUGAUUUUUCUGUCAGCUCCUCUGAAAUGUGAGGUCCUUCAAAGCAGGACUAUGUUUUUUUUCGUGGUAUCCCUUGCCCCUCGCAAAAUGCCUAGGACAUAAUAGGUGUUCUAUAAAUGUUUGUUGAAUGAAUACAGAAAAACCAGAGCGCCACUAUGGGUAGGUGAGUGGGAUGGGGAAGGCCCUGAAAUCCAGAGCACAGGGGGACCUGGGCAUGUGUGUGUAUGUGAGGGCUGAGUAGGGAGAUUGUUGUGGACAGAAUAAUGGUCCGUAGAAUAAAGGUCCACAUUCUGAUCCCUGGAACCUGAGAACACGUUAUGUUAAAUGCCAGAGGGAAUUCUGGUUGCAGAUGGAAUGAAGGUUGCUCAUCCCGAUUGUAAGGUCGAGAGAUUACUAUGGAUUACCCAGGUGGGUCAGGGUAAUCACAGGGUUCUUACAAGUGGGAAGCAGGAGAGUCGGAGAAGAUGUGAUGACAGAAGCACAGGCUGGAGUGAAGUGGCCUCGAGCCACAGAAGGCAGGUGGCCUCUAGACGAUAGAAAGGUCAAGGAACAGAUUCUUUCCAGAGCCUCCAGAAGGAAAGCAUCUGUGCUAGCACCUUGAUGUUAGCCCUUUGAGGCCCAAUUUCAGACUUCUUUUUUUUUUUUUUGGAGACAGGGUCUUGCUCUAGUUGCCCAGGCUGGAGUGUGGUGGGGCAAUCUUGGCUCACUACAACCUCCACCUCCUAAUUUCAAGGGAUUCUCCUGCCUCAGCCUCCCGAGUAGCUGGGAUUAUAGGUGCCCACCACCAUGUCUGGCUAAUUUUUAUAUUUUUUGUAGAGACAGGGUUUUGCCAUGUUGGCCAGGCUGGUCUUGAACUCCUGACCUCAGGUGAUCCACCCGCUGCAGCCUCCCAAAGUGCUGGGAUUACAGGUGUAAGCCACUGUGCCUCUUCGCAUUUCAGACUUUUGACCUUAAAAACAACUUGUGUUGUUUUUAAGACACUAAGUUUGUGGUAGUUUCUUACAGCAGCUAUUGGAAACUAAUACAGAGGCUAAGCCUAGGGGAAUGGGGGGAAUCCUCAGGAAGGAACCAAAUAGAACACAUAACCCUGGAAAAGGCAAUGGCUGUGUCGGAGAAGCUCAGUCAGCAUCCAAAAAUACCUUUCCUGCUGAAUCACCCUAGAUCAAAAGUCAUUGACAGUAAGAUCACCACUGGUACGCAGCUCAAUGUGUGUUGCCUUUAGUGUCCCCAAAUAGUGUGAAUACCUCUAAUAAUUUGAGAGAAGCCAUAGUAGAAUAUAGUGUAAAAGAGUCAGUCAAACCUGGGUUUGAGUUUCUUUCUGCCACCUAUUGACUGUAGUAGCUUACAAAUGAUGUAACCUCUCGAAGCCACAGUUUACUUAUCUGUAAACUGAAGAUAAAUCUGUUUCUUAACUAGAAAGAUGGUGGUGAGGACUAAAUAACACAUAUAAUGUAUUUAACAUAAUGCCUGCCAUAUAGGAAACAUUGGAUAAGCAUUAUCUAUUACUAAAAACAUACAUACUAGGAACUUUUAUAACAAGGUUGUUUGAGUUAUCUCUAUACUCCACACUGACUCAAUCAUAUCUAGAGUCUGUAGUGAGUUGUGGGAACAAAGAGAGCAACUGGCAUGGUCAAAAGGAUGUCUAGGUUGGCAGUGGUGGCACACCUGGCCCCCUUGCAUUUUCAUAGGACUUUUACUGUUCAAAACACUUUCCCAUCUAUUAUCUCAAACUAUCAGAUGAGGUUAAUAUGUAUGUGUGUGUGUACUGGCUGGGUGUGGCGGCUCAAGCCUGUAAUCCCAGCAUUUUGGGAGGCUGAGGCAGGAGGAUUGCUUGAGGCCAGGAGUUUGAGACCAACCUAGGCAGCAUAGCGAGAUCCUGUCUCUACACAAACACACACAAACACACACACACACACACACACACAAGACUGGGUGCGGUGGCUCACGCCUGUAAUCCCAGCACUUUGGGAGGCCAAGGUGGGCAGAUCACUUGAGGCCAGGAGUUUGAGAUCAGCGUGGCCAACAUGGCAAAACCCGUCUCUACUAAAAGUACAA